This 433-nucleotide ribosomal RNA is filed under the name uncultured bacterium. RNAcentral describes it as "bacterial SSU rRNA". It matches the Rfam family "Bacterial small subunit ribosomal RNA", at positions 29 to 507 of the family's 1533-position model. The record is from RNAcentral.
AACGAACGCUGGCGGCAGGCCUAACACAUGCAAGUCGAGCGCCCCGCAAGGGGAGCGGCGGACGGGUGAGUAACGCGUGGGAACGUACCCUUUGCUACGGAAUAGCCUCGGGAAACUGGGAGUAAUACCGUAUGUGCCCUUCGGGGGAAAGAUUUAUCGGCAAAGGAUCGGCCCGCGUUGGAUUAGGUAGUUGGUGGGGUAAUGGCCUACCAAGCCGACGAUCCAUAGCUGGUUUGAGAGGAUGAUCAGCCACACUGGGACUGAGACACGGCCCAGACUCCUACGGGAGGCAGCAGUGGGGAAUCUUAGACAAUGGGCGCAAGCCUGAUCUAGCCAUGCCGCGUGAGCGAUGAAGGCCUUAGGGUUGUAAAGCUCUUUCAGUGGGGAAGAGUAAUGACUGUACCCUACAGAAGAAGCCCCGGCUAACUCCGUG